GACAUUGACCCGCGACAACGUCAUUAGUGCAAGGAAAAUAAUACUAAGAACGGAAUAUAAAUAAAACGCACGGUUAAAACAUUUAGUAUCAUUUCACUUGUCAGUUGGUUCAUUGUUUUAUGUUCGUCUGCAGCCAUGUUCUUCAAAAUAAGUGUUUUAUUAUUGAUUCCCCAUUUGCUUUUAGCAGAUUCUAGUUCUGCUAACUUGGGUAGAAUUGGCACUAAACCAACAUCCUGUCCCUUGAACGAAGUUCCAUCAGAUUGCAUAGAAUACUGUCUACCAACUUGUGAGCAACCCAAACAACCUCCCUGUACAUAUAGCACUUGUCUCGCAGGAUGUAUGUGUAAAGAAGGAUAUAUUAGAGUAAAAGAGGGAGCAAAGUGUGUACCUAUUAAAAGUUGCGUGGAACCAGGUGAAAUAAGUAGAAACUAUACAGCACCUUGUAAAGAAAACGAAGAAAUACAGGACUGCGUGGCUUGUGAAACCACCUGUCCAUAUAUCGACGAUCCUGUAUUGUGCUCGUUGUUGUGGUGUCCAAAAGGGUGUGCUUGCAAACACGGUUUUAUUAGGAAAAGAGAAGGAGGAGAUUGCAUUUCUGAAAGCGAAUGCAGGCGAUUGCACACAUAGAUUAUCUUAGUUUUAACGUUUUUUUUUUGUCAAAUAGUAACAAAAACUUGUUUCAAUUGCUAAGAAAAUAUUUUCCUGUAGUAUAGAACAAUAUAUCAACAUCCUGUAAGAUGUU
Molecule: long non-coding RNA, 742 nt
Organism: Zophobas morio
Lineage: Eukaryota; Metazoa; Arthropoda; Insecta; Coleoptera; Tenebrionidae
Exons: 2
Source: RefSeq, a predicted model, not a curated record